AUCCCGCAGGUACAAGCUCGGAGUAGACACCGAUAGGUCAGGCUUCCUCCGAUCUACACCUCCACUCUAUCUCUCUCAAUCUAGUAGAAACUAGAAGAUCUAUUUCUACUCACAUUGGUUGCUAAGCCUAAAAAGAAAUUUUAUUUACAAGAGAGGUAUUCCUUCGAGGGCUCCUCUCAACUCUAUGAUGAACUUGUCUCCUCCAGGGGCCAGGGGGUCUGGUUUUAUAGUCCCCUCAAGUGAACGUGAGCCGUUGGAUCAAACCGACAUUGAUUGGACGGUUAUCCUUGAUCCUUUAGGUCGGUGGAGCGUCGUCCGCGAAAAGAGUUCUGAUUGGCAUCCAGGAGGGGGCGGGCGCCCUGGUCCUCAGGGCGGGCGCCCUGGGCCAGGCCCCUUUCAGCCUCCGCUUUGUUCCCGUGGCUUCUGGAGUCUUCUAGAUGGUGGAAAAUUGCCCGAUGCGUUGAUAUCUCUAUGUAAUCCCGACACGUGGGCCUUUCUUCCUUAUUUCCUGAUGACCCCCUGCAGAAACAGAUAAACAACAAAACUCGUGGAAUUCUGUCAGAUCAAACACUAAUUCUAGGUGUUGUUUGCAUAUUGGUCCUUUCUCUUGUUUAUUUGAUAAUUAAAAUUGAUACUUAAGAACCGUCAACAAAUACCCCCAUACUUAGGCUUUUACUCGUCCUCGAGAAAAGGAUGGUUAAGAACAAUAUCUGGGGUAAAACAUUUUAAAACAUUCUCUUCAUAACUGCAGGGUGUUAAAAUCCACUGUGUACUAUAGUCAGGGAAGUGUAUGGUUAAGAGUAAAGAUCCUUUCUUCUCAAUCCUGUCACUUGGAGUUUUUAUAUGUUUUUGAAAGAAAGUUAGCAUACCUUUUAUCAUCAUAGGUUCUCUCAGAUCACUCAUUACCUUUUAUAUAUCUCACUGAGGCUGUUUUAAUUUGUAAAAAUUCUUAAGCAUACUUACUUUGCAUUUAUUGCCCGAUCAAAAUGGGAUCCGAGGAGGGGAAUGUUAUACUCCUAGAUUAAAAUCUUUUUCAACUCUUGCUGGCAUAUUGCUUAUUAGAGGGACGAUGGGCUAUCAUUUUCUUUUUUUCUCUUUUUUUAAGUGGAUAUCGAGGUACCCCUAAUUCUACUGCCGGACACUUGUCCAUUUUUUCUGCGAGGUUAUCGAGCACUUGCUCCUUUUUAUUUCCUCGAAAUAUCUUUAUUUUUGCAUAGCCCAUGCCUCUAAUGCAAUAAUACUUCGGAAGAGUGAAUCUUUCUGAAUAAUGUCUUGAUCUUAGGAGCAUGAUAAAUCUCUCAACAAGGGUCUAACUCAUUUUGAACAAACUCAAUACAGAGUAGAUAGCUUUUAUAAUCAUAAUUAAUAUUUUCAGUUUUAGUAGGCAUAUAAAACACUGAGGAUGGUAGCUAGAAUUUUUGAAUAAAUUUUGAAAUAAAUUCUCCAAGCAACAAUGAUAUCAAGAAUAAGAAACUCAUACUCUACCAUCUCAUAGUCCACAAUGACAUAAGUAACACAGGGUUUUAAAAUGAUUUUUCAAUAAUUGCAAUUUUCAGGAAAUAUCACAGAGUGAGAUUAAUCAUAUUUAGAAACAUUUUAAGCUUGUUAAUUUAUCAUGUCGGAAACAGUAUUCUGCAUAAUCUAAAAUAUAUAUGAGUAUGUGUAAAAUAAGUGUGCAGAGUGUGUACCUGAAUCGUGGAGUGGUGUAGUCGAAGUGUGUUUGGCAUGUCGAGGGAUCUCCCCCAUACUUGUUUUCUGCUUUCUUGCACAAAAAUAAAGUAGAGACACACAAGACAUAAUAAUAAUACUCUUUAUUAAUCUUGAGGCAUUUAUUACAAAUAACUAGUAGCAAACUGACGAUAAUAGUAAACCCAAACCGAAUUUAAAAAUAGAUAACUAAGAUGCAUUGCCUCAAAGUCUAAUCUAGAUAACUCAGCGGCGCUCUAACUCCUUAAUCUUCUUAUUGGCACUGGCAAGAUCCUGCCUAAGGCCUAGUAUAACAGUGUUGUGGUUAGAGAGCUGCCUAGUGAGGGAAUUAACUGAGGACUGGAGGUCUAUGAUGACUCUGUCUAGCCUGCGAACGUCCUCAUCAAUAUCUACUAUAGUCUUGCGACGCUUGGGAGGUGUCUCAAAAGCAUUGAGAGCGUGCUUCGGGGCCGCCUUUGGAGGGAUGAAACAGACUUUGGCUAC
This 2190-nucleotide long non-coding RNA is filed under the name Sorghum bicolor (sorghum). RNAcentral describes it as "long non-coding RNA (SBIC_LNC000632)". The record is from RNAcentral. Lineage: Eukaryota; Viridiplantae; Streptophyta; Magnoliopsida; Poales; Poaceae.